This 253-nucleotide ribosomal RNA is filed under the name uncultured bacterium. RNAcentral's name for it is "partial 16S ribosomal RNA". It matches the Rfam family "Bacterial small subunit ribosomal RNA", at positions 524 to 776 of the family's 1533-position model. The record is from RNAcentral.
UACGUAGGGGGCUAGCGUUGUCCGGAAUCAUUGGGCGUAAAGCGCGUGUAGGCGGUCCGGUAAGUCCGCUGUGAAAGUCGGGGGCUCAACCCUCGGAUGCCGGUGGAUACUGUCGGGCUUGAGUACGGAAGAGGCGAGUGGAAUUCCUGGUGUAGCGGUGAAAUGCGCAGAUAUCAGGAGGAACACCUAUGGCGAAGGCAGCUCGCUGGGACGUUACUGACGCUGAGACGCGAAAGCGUGGGGAGCAAACAGG